RNAcentral lists this ribosomal RNA (1196 nucleotides) under Aporrectodea longa. RNAcentral describes it as "partial 16S ribosomal RNA". The stretch from base 736 to 1102 matches the Rfam family "Bacterial large subunit ribosomal RNA", at positions 2049 to 2651 of the family's 2925-position model. Lineage: Eukaryota; Metazoa; Annelida; Clitellata; Crassiclitellata; Lumbricidae. The record is from RNAcentral.
UACUAAAAUCAACCAUCUAACAACCACACUUAAUAAAACACUUAAAUACGCACUCCUACUAACCAACCAAAUCAAAGUACUAAAAAGGAAAAUAAUAAUAACAUAAAGUAGUGAUAGCUCACGUACCUUGUGCAUUAUGGUUUUACAAGCUAUAAAUUUACAAUAUUCUCCCGAAUUCUACACGAGCUGUCCGCAUAUAGCUCAGAGCCCACUAUUAGUUAUGGCAACAACUUUAGAAAAUAUGCUGACAGAGGCUACAUACCACACGCGUUAGAAAAUUGCUGGUCUUCAGUAAAAUUUAUUAAUUAAAACAUGUAGUAAUAACUACAGUGUAAGACUCCAGAGGACAAGCCCUGCAGUCUUAAGCUAAUAAAUACUCUACAAAAUAUUUAGGCCUAAAAACAGCCAUCUUCAUUACUUUACCGUAAUAUUUAUAUAAUACCUAAAAUUGUAUUGCACAACAAAACUGAAAUUUAAGAUAAACCUCAAAUAUUAAAAUAUUAUGUAAAAAUAAGUAUUAGAUAUAAACAAUCGCAACAUCAAAUCUUUCUCUCAAUAAAACAAACAAAUUCUCGUUAAAAUAUGAGAAGUAAUUCCUGCCCAGUGACUUAAUUCAACGGCCGCGGUAUCCUAACCGUGCAAAGGUAGCAUAAUCACUUGCCCAUUAAUUGUGGGCUAGAAUGAAAGGACUAACGAAAUAAAGACUGUCUCUAUAAGCACCAUAAAAAUUAAUCUCUAACUGAAGAGUGUUAGAUAUCGUCGAAGGACAAGAAGACCCUAUAGAGCUUUAUUUUAAUAAAACCCAAAAAUUUUUGAUAAAAUUCGGUUGGGGCGACCAGGGAAUAUAUAUCAUCCCUAUAAAAAAGAUAAAUCAAUCUAAACUCUGACCCUUAAAUAAGAUCAACAAAUUAAGCUACCUUAGGGAUAACAGGCUAAUCCCGCUAAAGAGUCCUUAUCAAUAGUGGGGGUUGGCACCUCGAUGUUGGCUUAGGGAAUCUAUGUGGCGCAAAAGUCACAUAAAGAUGGUUUGUUCAACCAAUAACACCCUACAUGAGCUGAGUUCAGACCGGCGUAAGCCAGGUUAGUUUCUAUCCUCGAUUAAUAAUCUAUUUAUAGUACGAAAGGACCUAAAUAGAAUAAUAAUUAUACCCAAAGAAUUAAUAUAAUACAUCUUUAAAUCAAAAGUACAUAAACUA